CUGAUGAUACUGGAGCUUGAAAUCCUCUGUUUGGUCACAGAAUGGGUAUGGUACAGAAAGUAUCAGUGCAGCUUUCUCCACACUGCCUCACCAAUGUGCCUCCACCCUGCUCUGAAAAGACCACGUCUGCUAGUCUGAUGUACUUCAGACUCCCUGGUUUUUAAAGCCCUGGCCACU
RNAcentral lists this small RNA (177 nucleotides) under Chrysemys picta bellii (western painted turtle). RNAcentral describes it as "TUC338 (ENSCPBG00000005655.1)". The record is from RNAcentral. Lineage: Eukaryota; Metazoa; Chordata; Testudines; Emydidae.